RNAcentral lists this transfer RNA (77 nucleotides) under Flavobacteriaceae bacterium. Its description in RNAcentral is "tRNA-Arg". It matches the Rfam family "tRNA". Rfam says of the family: Transfer RNA (tRNA) molecules are approximately 80 nucleotides in length. Their secondary structure includes four short double-helical elements and three loops (D, anti-codon, and T loops). Lineage: Bacteria; Pseudomonadati; Bacteroidota; Flavobacteriia; Flavobacteriales; Flavobacteriaceae. The record is from RNAcentral.
GGGGGAGUAGUUCAACUGGAUAGAAUAACAGAUUUCGGCUCUGUUGGUUAGGGGUUCGAAUCCUCUCUCCCUCACUA